RNAcentral lists this ribosomal RNA (429 nucleotides) under Acidobacteriota bacterium. Its description in RNAcentral is "Acidobacteria bacterium partial 16S ribosomal RNA". It matches the Rfam family "Bacterial small subunit ribosomal RNA", at positions 355 to 776 of the family's 1533-position model. Lineage: Bacteria; Pseudomonadati; Acidobacteriota. The record is from RNAcentral.
UGGGGAUUUUUGGACAAUGGGGGAAACCCUGAUCCAGCCAUCCCGCGUGUGCGAUGAAGGCCUUCGGGUUGUAAAGCACUUUUGGCAGGAAAGAAACGUCAUGGGUUAAUACCCCGUGAAACUGACGGUACCUGCAGAAUAAGCACCGGCUAACUACGUGCCAGCAGCCGCGGUAAUACGUAGGGUGCAAGCGUUAAUCGGAAUUACUGGGCGUAAAGCGUACGCAGGCGGAUCGGAAAGAAAGAUGUGACAUCCCAGAGCUCAACUUUGGAACUUCAUUUUUAACUACCGGGCUAUAGUGUGUCAGAGGGAGGGGGAAUUCCGCGUGUAGCAGUGAAAUGCAUAGAUAUGCGGAGGAACACCGAUGGCGAAGGCAGCCACCUGGGAUAACACUGACGCUCAUGCACGAAAGCGUGGGGAGCAAACAGG